UAAUACGUAGGGUGCAAGCGUUAAUCGGAAUUACUGGGCGUAAAGCGUGCGCAGGCGGUUUUGUAAGACAGAGGUGAAAUCCCCGGGCUCAACCUGGGAACUGCCUUUGUGACUGCAAGGCUGGAGUGCGGCAGAGGGGGAUGGAAUUCCGCGUGUAGCAGUGAAAUGCGUAGAUAUGCGGAGGAACACCGAUGGCGAAGGCAAUCCCCUGGGCCUGCACUGACGCUCAUGCACGAAAAGCGUGGGGAGCAAACAGGAUUAGAUACCCUGGUAGUCCACGCCCUAAACGAUGUCAACUGGUUGUUGGGUCUUCACUGACUCAGUAACGC
RNAcentral lists this ribosomal RNA (329 nucleotides) under uncultured bacterium. RNAcentral's name for it is "bacterial SSU rRNA". It matches the Rfam family "Bacterial small subunit ribosomal RNA", at positions 521 to 849 of the family's 1533-position model. The record is from RNAcentral.